GAUGAAGAACGCAGUGAAAUGCGAUAAGUAAUGUGAAUUGCAGAAUUCAGUGAAUCAUCGAAUCUUUGAACGCACAUUGCGCCCGCUAGUAUUCUGGCGGGCAUGCCUGUCCGAGCGUCAUUUCAACCCUCAAGCCCCCGGGCUUGGUGUUGGGGAUCGGCGAGCCUCCGCGCCCGCCGUCCCCUAAAUCUAGUGGCGGUCUCGCUGUAGCUUCCUCUGCGUAGUAGCACACCUCGCACUGGGAAACAGCGCGGCCACGCCGUUAAACCCCCAACUUCUGAACGUUUGACCUCGGAUCAGGUAGGAAUACCCGCUGAACAUAAGCAUAUCAAUAAGCGGAGGA
RNAcentral lists this unclassified non-coding RNA (343 nucleotides) under soil metagenome. RNAcentral describes it as "partial contains 5.8S ribosomal RNA, internal transcribed spacer 2, and large subunit ribosomal RNA". The stretch from base 1 to 120 matches the Rfam family "5.8S ribosomal RNA", at positions 35 to 154 of the family's 154-position model. The record is from RNAcentral.